Molecule: transfer RNA, 74 nt
Filed under: Otolemur garnettii (small-eared galago)
Lineage: Eukaryota; Metazoa; Chordata; Mammalia; Primates; Galagidae
Rfam family: tRNA
About the family: Transfer RNA (tRNA) molecules are approximately 80 nucleotides in length. Their secondary structure includes four short double-helical elements and three loops (D, anti-codon, and T loops). Further hydrogen bonds mediate the characteristic L-shaped molecular structure. tRNAs have two regions of fundamental functional importance: the anti-codon, which is responsible for specific mRNA codon recognition, and the 3' end, to which the tRNAs corresponding amino acid is attached (by aminoacyl-tRNA synthetases). tRNAs cope with the degeneracy of the genetic code in two manners: having more than one tRNA (with a specific anti-codon) for a particular amino acid; and 'wobble' base-pairing, i.e. permitting non-standard base-pairing at the 3rd anti-codon position.
Source: Rfam by way of RNAcentral
GGCACUGUGGCUCAAAGGAGUAGGGCACUGGCCCCUUAUGCCAGAGGUGGCAGGUUCAAAGCCAGCCCUGGCCA